RNAcentral lists this ribosomal RNA (630 nucleotides) under uncultured fungus. RNAcentral's name for it is "eukaryotic LSU rRNA". It matches the Rfam family "Eukaryotic large subunit ribosomal RNA", at positions 23 to 664 of the family's 3401-position model. Lineage: Eukaryota; Fungi. The record is from RNAcentral.
UUCACUCUCUGAAGUUAAGCAUCUCACUAAGCGGAGGAAAAGAAACCAGCAGGGAUUACCCUCGUAACGGCGAGUGAAGCGGUAACAGCUCAAAUUUGAAAUCUGACCUUCACGGGUUCGAGUUGUAAUUUGUAGAGGAUGUUUCGGAUAAGGCUUUGGUUUAAGUUUCUUGGAACAGAGCGUCAUAGAGGGUGAGAGUCCCGUCUAGAACCGAUAGCCGCGUCUAUGUGAAACUCCUUCGACGAGUCGAGUUGUUUGGGAAUGCAGCUCAAAAUGGGUGGUAAAUUUCAUCUAAAGCUAAAUAUUGGCCAGAGCCUGAUAGCGCACAAGUAGAGUGAGGGAAAGAUGAAAAGCACUUUGAAAAGAGAGUUAACCAGUAUGUGAAAUUGUUGAAAGGGAAGCGCUUGCAACCAGACUUGUGUUUAACGGUUCCCCCGUAUCUUCUGAUCGGGCUAUUCCGUUAUAUCCAGGCCAGCAUCGGUUCGGGUGGUCGUUUAAAGCCCUUGGGAAUGUAUCUACCUGCGGGUCGACUUAUAGCUCAGGGUGUAAUGCGUCCCACUUGGACGCGAGGAGCGCGCUUUUGCUCGGAUGCUGGCGUAAUGGUUGUAAACGGCCCGUCGUGAAACACGG